Molecule: ribosomal RNA, 253 nt
Filed under: uncultured bacterium
Lineage: Bacteria
Description: partial 16S ribosomal RNA
Rfam family: Bacterial small subunit ribosomal RNA
Source: RNAcentral
UACAGAGGUCCCAAGCGUUGUUCGGAUUUAUUGGGCGUAAAGCGUCUGUAGGUGGCUUUUUAAGUCUGCCGUCAAAUCCCAGGGCUUAACCCUGGACAGGCGGUGGAAACUACCAAGCUGGAGUACGGUAGGGGCAGAGGGAAUUUCCGGUGGAGCGGUGAAAUGCGUAGAGAUCGGAAAGAACACCAACGGCGAAGGCACUCUGCUGGGCCGACACUGACACUGAGAGACGAAAGCUAGGGGAGCAAAUGGG